AUUGAACGCUGGCGGCAUGCUUUACACAUGCAAGUCGAACGGUAACAGGCCGCAAGGUUCUGACGAGUGGCGAACGGGUGAGUAAUGCAGCGGAACGUGCCCAGUCGUGGGGGAUAACUACUCGAAAGAGUAGCUAAUACCCCAUACUAUCUAUGAAUGAAAGCGGGGGACCGUAAGGCCUCGCGCGAUUGGAGCGGCCGAUGUCAGAUUAGGUAGUUGGUGGGGUAAAGGCUCACCAAGGCAACGAUCUGUAGCUGGUCUGAGAGGACGAUCAGCCACACUGGGACUGAGACACGGCCCAGACUCCUACGGGAGGCAGCAGUGGGGAAUUUUGGACAAUGGGCGCAAGCCUGAUCCAGCAAUGCCGCGUGCAGGAAGAAGGCCUUCGGGUUGUAAACUGCUUUUGUACGGAACGAAAAGGCUCUGGUUAAUACCCGGGGCUAAUGACGGUACCGUAAGAAUAAGCACCGGCUAACUACGUG
This 482-nucleotide ribosomal RNA is filed under the name uncultured bacterium. RNAcentral's name for it is "partial 16S ribosomal RNA". It matches the Rfam family "Bacterial small subunit ribosomal RNA", at positions 30 to 507 of the family's 1533-position model. The record is from RNAcentral.